Scophthalmus maximus (turbot) is the source of this 3355-nucleotide RNA transcript. It is a transcript of the gene named casein kinase II subunit alpha, with no coding region annotated. The record is from RefSeq and is a predicted model, not a curated record. NCBI's taxonomy places the organism in Eukaryota, Metazoa, Chordata, Actinopteri, Pleuronectiformes, Scophthalmidae. The transcript is spliced from 16 exons.
CUCUGAAACAGCAGAAAUCACAUACUGGCACCGACUGGCACAGACACACCGGCUACGGGGGGAGGCGAAAACAGCUGGCCUGGCAAAACUCAGCUUGUUGGGGAGUAUUGCGGUUGUUGAAUCGAUUGAGGGGAUUCAAGACAACCUGUGCCAGAUGCAGCAAAGCAGCCCCAGAACGUAACUGAGCCUCCUCCAUGUUUCACAAAGUCAACACCAUCUCUGCCAAGCUGUCGGACAUGUCAGGAUCCGUGCCGAGCCGGGCCCGAGUUUACACUGAGGUCAACACUCACCGGCCCAGGGAGUACUGGGACUAUGAGUCCCACGUGGUUGAAUGGGGAAACCAGGAUGACUUCCAGUUGGUGAGGAAGCUAGGGCGUGGCAAGUACAGUGAAGUCUUUGAGGCAAUCAACAUCACCAAUAACGAGAAGGUGGUGGUGAAGAUACUCAAGCCUGUGAAGAAAAAGAAAAUCAAGCGCGAGAUUAAGAUUUUGGAGAACCUACGAGGAGGUCCGAACAUCAUCUCCCUCAUCGAUAUAGUGAAAGACCCUGUCUCCCGGACACCUGCUUUGGUCUUUGAACAUGUCAACAACACAGACUUCAAGCAACUUUACCAGACCCUGACAGACUACGACAUCCGGUUCUACAUGUGUGAGAUCCUCAAGGCCCUGGACUACUGCCACAGCAUGGGAAUCAUGCAUAGAGAUGUGAAGCCACAUAACGUUAUGAUCGAUCACGAACACCGUAAGUUGCGCCUUAUUGACUGGGGCCUGGCUGAGUUUUACCACCCCGGACAGGAGUACAAUGUCAGAGUUGCCUCCCGCUACUUUAAAGGACCUGAGCUGCUGGUGGACUAUCAGAUGUAUGACUACAGUCUGGAUAUGUGGAGCCUUGGCUGUAUGCUGGCAAGCAUGAUCUUUAGGAAGGAGCCUUUCUUCCAUGGCCAUGACAACUAUGACCAGUUGGUGAGAAUAGCCAAGGUUCUGGGAACUGAAGACCUCUACGAUUACAUUGACAAGUAUAACAUUGAGCUGGAACCUCGCUUCAAUGACAUUCUAGGAAGGCAUUCUCGCAAGCGGUGGGAAAGGUUUGUCCACAGUGAAAACCAGUCCCUGGUCAGCCCAGAGGCUCUGGAUUUCCUGGACAAGCUGCUGCGCUAUGACCACCAGGCCCGCCUGACUGCCCACGAGGCCAUGGAUCAUCCUUAUUUCUUCCCCGUUGUGAAAGAUCAGUCUCGUGUGGCCGGAUCAGCCAACCUGCCCAGUGGGAACAUAGCUGUUAGCACAACCAGCAUGAUCACUGGUAUCUCUGCCUUGCCAGCCUCCACUGCCCUGGGCCCUCUCACUGGCUCGCCGGUCCUGUCUGCUGCCACCAAUGUCCUGAGCACCCCGGUGCCUGCUGCUGCUGGUGCCCCACAGUGACACCCCCCAUCUAAAUCCACAUUCAUCCCACCUCAUCUCUCCCAUCAUCGCCCAGUUUGGGGGGGUGGACUAGACAGACGGGACCUACAUAUGGUAGGAGGAUGAUGAAGUGGUAUCUCGCCACAAAAGUGGUAGAUGCUGCAGAGUCACGAAUUGGAUCAGUGCUCAGAACUAUGCAUCAGCCUUACCAUGAAGCCAGACGUCAGGAUGCCCGCAAUCUCGAUCCCACACCCUAUCAAGCUGACUACAUGGGUCACAAGUUUCAAAUGGACCGAAACGAAAAACUGUCUAUGUUUGGGGUCACCCAUAUUUUAGCCAUUGAUGGCUUCAGCAAAAAAGUUGUGGCUCAUUCUACAAUGCCUAUAAAAAAUAACCUUGCAUCUAUGGAGAUGUUUUCAGGUAAUAACCAAUGUAUUGUUGUGGACACUAAAGGGAUAAUCUGUAAUUUCUUAAAGACAGUGGUUGUUGGCCAAUAUAUAUAAUAUACUGUAUCAGGGAUAAGAGAGAGAAUAUAAUAAUAAUACUUCUUAAGUUUUCUAUAAAAAUGAUACAUCAUAUUCAGGGUUAAAAUGAAACAUCAACAGAAAACAGAUGGCAUACAUGGUUCAAAAAUAGGAUUUUAAAUUGCUUAAUUAACCAAAUGCAAUCAAAUAUGUGUUGUGAAACUAUGUAUUUAAAAUUAUCUUCAGUGAAACUGGAUUAAGGCACUAAUUAGCAUGUGGCAGAGAACCUAAAUACAAAUCAAAGUCAUUUAAUUCAGAUAAAUCAAUGCAUGAUAUUUGAAAAUCCUUAGCAAAUUCAAUCAAUAGGCAUUGAACACUUUCUUGAUGGUCCUGAGGGCCAUGUUGGAGCUGACCGGUGGAUUUUUAACCCCAGUAGCCGCUCUCGUCCUGAAGAUGUCUUUGUCUUCAUGUGUAAUUUGUCAACAAGUAUUCAUUCUCUUAUUUAUAACACUGUGUAUUUUACUCUUUUUCCCUUUCUCAAUUAUUCUUUUAUUUUACUUCAUUUUACGAUUAAUAUAAGACGAAAUAUUCCUGUUGGGUGUUAGAACAGUGAAAUGGAUAGCAGAAAUUGCACUACUACAUUGUUCUUUGUUUUUGUUUUUUCAGAGUGUGUAUGUGAUUUAUACUCAUCCUCCUUAUCCUCAGUUGGAAUCUGACUUUUGCGUUUCUCUGAUUGAUCCUCUGGGGAUCAUCAUCACAAGAAAACUCCAAUACAGUUAUAAUCAGUCUCAGGCCUUUUCAGGCCUCAACACAUCACUGUGUGCUCGACCUUUGACCUAUGAGCUGGUCCUCGUCGUCAUUUAACACCUGAGAAGGUUCUCUCUACCUGUGAGACAGGGAAACAUUCUCCAGAGAUUGGAGAGAUUUGAUUAACACAUUCGUUUGAUUUAAAUUAAUAGAAACAUGUAAUCCCAACGAUGUUUCCAGGAAUCUGUGGAGGAGCUGUAAAUUAAAUCUUUUUAGCAUUGUUGUUAGUUUGUUAGUUUGCUUGUUUUUUUAACAUGCAGUAUACAUACAAUAUCAUACAUACUGAUAUACUCAUUUCCUCAUCAGUCCAGAGAAGUGUGACCUUUUUGGGUGAUACUCUCUGUUAGAACUCAUGAGGACUUAGUUCAGUUGCUGCAUUCUCUGUACUGCAGAUGAAAUAUAGAACAAUGGUCAAUGUUCAUUCUCUCAUUGUCACUUUCAUAGCCUUGACAUCUUGGCAUAUGUAUCAAAUCUAUUUUCAUAGUUUUUUAUGAUAGUAACAAUUGACAAUUUUCAUUCUGAUAAUAAUGAUAAAUGACUUUCAGUUUAUAAUAAUACAUUACUAUUUUAAUUUGAUGGAGGCUGUAAGUGGUCGUGUUUCACUGAACCUUUCUUUCUCUACUUGUACUAUAUUGUGUGUAACUAGAACAAAUCAUGUAACCUAAUAAAUAAUCCAUUCCCCCUUUU